This 434-nucleotide ribosomal RNA is filed under the name uncultured bacterium. Its description in RNAcentral is "bacterial SSU rRNA". It matches the Rfam family "Bacterial small subunit ribosomal RNA", at positions 8 to 429 of the family's 1533-position model. The record is from RNAcentral.
AGAGUUUGAUCCUGGCUCAGAAUCAACGCUGGCGGCGUGCGUAACACAUGCAAGUCGAACGCGAAAGUCCCGCAAGGGAUUAGUAGAGUGGCAAACGGGUGAGUAACACGUGGGUGACCUGCCUUCGAGUGGGGGAUAACGUCCCGAAAGGGACGCUAAUACCGCGUGACAUCCUGCCUUUGAAGAGGUGGAGCUUAAAGCUGGGGAUCGCAAGACCUGGCGCUUGAAGAGGGGCCCGCGCCUGAUUAGCUAGUUGGUGAGGUAACGGCUCACCAAGGCAUCGAUCAGUAUCCGGCCUGAGAGGGCGGACGGACACACUGGGACUGAGACACGGCCCAGACUCCUACGGGAGGCAGCAGUGGGGAAUUGUUCGCAAUGGGCGCAAGCCUGACGACGCAACGCCGCGUGGAGGAUGAAGAUCUUCGGGUCGUAAA